Molecule: ribosomal RNA, 310 nt
Filed under: uncultured bacterium
Lineage: Bacteria
Description: bacterial SSU rRNA
Rfam family: Bacterial small subunit ribosomal RNA
Source: RNAcentral
CCGGCUAACUCCGUGCCAGCAGCCGCGGUAAUACGGAGGGUGCGAGCGUUAAUCGGAAUUACUGGGCGUAAAGCGCAUGCAGGCGGCCUCGUUAAGUCAGAUGUGAAAGACCCGGGGCGUUAACCUCCGGAAUUGCAUUUGAAACUAGGCAGGCUAGAGUCUUGUAGAGGGGGGUAGGAAGUUUCAGGUGUAGCGGUGAAAUAGCGUAGAGAUCUGAAGGAAUACCAGUGGCGAAGGCGGCCCCCUCGGACAAAGACUGACGCUCAGAUGCGAAAGCGUGGGGAGCAAACAGGAUUAGAUACCCUGGUAG